This 253-nucleotide ribosomal RNA is filed under the name uncultured bacterium. Its description in RNAcentral is "partial 16S ribosomal RNA". It matches the Rfam family "Bacterial small subunit ribosomal RNA", at positions 524 to 776 of the family's 1533-position model. The record is from RNAcentral.
UACGAGUGCCCCAAGCGUUAUCCGGAAUUAUUGGGCGUAAAGGGUGUGUAGGUGGUUUUGUUAGUCUUCUGUUAAAGCUCCCGGCUUAACCGGGAAAGUGCAGAGGAAACGGCAAGACUAGAGGAUGUGAGAGGUUUAUGGAACUCAUGGUGUAGGGGUGAAAUCCGUUGAUAUCAUGGGGAACACCAAAAGCGAAGGCAAUAAACUGGCGCAUUCCUGACACUGAAACACGAAAGCGUGGGUAGCGAAUGGG